Molecule: non-coding RNA, 929 nt
Organism: Pelobates cultripes (western spadefoot toad)
Lineage: Eukaryota; Metazoa; Chordata; Amphibia; Anura; Pelobatidae
Source: the annotation of a GenBank genome assembly
UGCACGUAGGGAUACUAACACACGAAUUACUAUUAAAAUACCCUGUGUGAGACACAUAACAUUAAAACUAUACAUUUAACAUAUCCCCAGAUAGCUCAGGUCUGAGCGCACAUUAUUAAGCGAAUGGCGCUCAGACUACGCGAAUACAGUUUAAUCGCCAUGGAGCCAAAGUCUUUACACAGUCAGUUUCAUGCGAAUGAGCUCCAUGGGAUUCCUAUCUGGGGUAUAACACAUUCAAGCAAAACUACUGAACACCGGGCCGUUCGUGCACUUUCACCGAACAAGAAGGGAGGUCGGCGGCUUCAGCGGUGUUCGCUCAAAACUGUGUCCCAUUUCAGUUCCAUGAAUUAAGCAUCGAACACCGCUGUGCAUUCGCAUGUUUAAAAUGGCCGCGACCUCGUGUUCGUGAUAAGAAUGGCGGCCACCCAGCAUUCACCAAUUAAGCUGCGGUUAACCGCAGAUUCAGGGAGGCUAAUUGCCAGCACACUCCAGCUCCCAGGUGGUCCAGUCAUUUGUGCGGUUGUUCGGUAGAUGAAUCUACCGAACACCAGGCAGAAAAGAACGAAUAAAUCUUUUCUGCAGGUAAAAAAGAUGUCUUUUAACAUGGGGCCAUAGUCUAAAGGCAACAGGUGAGCAACCAGGCUUCUCCAAUGCAAUGUGGCGAGAUUGGUCUCGUAAAACUUAAAACUUACAUUUUCAGAAUCAGCAUACUCCAAAUACAAACAUACGUCAAAAUCAUGCAAAUUGGUCCAGUGGUUCAAAGGAUAGAUCGUAGUCCUUUGUGACCAAAGGAAGCGUGGCUUUUCUGCCCAAAACCAGUUCCACAGAGUCUUCUAUCCUGGAGAUAAUUAGAAGUAAUCCAAUUAUCUCCAAAGACAGAGGCAAAACUCCAUUGAACACAUGGCAGCAAAAAGACAGUAAAAUACAAU